RNAcentral lists this ribosomal RNA (492 nucleotides) under uncultured bacterium. RNAcentral describes it as "partial 16S ribosomal RNA". It matches the Rfam family "Bacterial small subunit ribosomal RNA", at positions 29 to 507 of the family's 1533-position model. The record is from RNAcentral.
AGUGAACGCUGGCGGUAGGCCUAACACAUGCAAGUCGAACGGCAGCACAGUAAGAGCUUGCUCUUACGGGUGGCGAGUGGCGGACGGGUGAGGAAUACAUCGGAAUCUACUUUUUCGUGGGGGAUAACGUAGGGAAACUUACGCUAAUACCGCAUACGACCUACGGGUGAAAGCAGGGGAUCUUCGGACCUUGCGCGAUUGAAUGAGCCGAUGUCGGAUUAGCUAGUUGGCGGGGUAAAGGCCCACCAAGGCGACGAUCCGUAGCUGGUCUGAGAGGGAGAUCAGCCACACUGUGACUGAGACACGGUCCACACUCCUACGGGAGGCAGCAGUGGGGAAUAUUGGACGAUGGACGCAAGCCUGAUCCAGCAAUACCGCGUGGGUGAAGAAGGCCUUCGGGUUGUAAAGCCCUUUUGUUGGGAAAGAAAAGCAGCAGGUUAAUACCCCGCUGUUCUGACGGUACCCAAAGAGUAAGCACCGGCUAACUUCGUG